CUCUGUUUUCCUCCAGCACGUGAACAAGGAUGAGGAAAGCGUGAGCAUCUCCUUCCCUUUCCUUUUCCCUUUCUCCUCAAUUGAACCAGAGCAAAACCCUAGGCUCCCUCUUCCCCUUGUGCCGCCGCUGCCUCCUCUGCUCCUCCAAGCGCCCAGCCAGAACCACAUCCGAGAGCCACCAAAAGUUUCGCCGGAGAAGACCAAGACCGCGCCGUCGAACCAAACCGCUGCGUCGCCGUCCGAGCACGGGGAUGGAGCCGCCGUGGCGCCCUCUCCCUCCUCGCUGAACCGGAGCUGGAGCUGCUCGAGAACGUCGCCGCCGCCAAGACGUACCUGGAGCGCCGCCGUGCACGCCGACGACCUCCGCUUCGCCCCGCUGUCGUCUCCAUCCUCCCCAACCUUCUCCCUUGACGUGCUCGCCGUGUGUGCUGCCAGAGCCUCAACAGCGUCAUCUUGGUCGGGCUUCGUCUGGUUUCUUUCAAAGGGCUGAGCCCCUCUUCAGUCAUCAGUUAAUCUAGCAGUUCGCCUGUUCCAUCUGCACCUAAGACGCCGGUAUCGAGGAGUACGGCGAGA
Molecule: long non-coding RNA, 573 nt
Organism: Lolium rigidum
Lineage: Eukaryota; Viridiplantae; Streptophyta; Magnoliopsida; Poales; Poaceae
Exons: 3
Source: RefSeq, a predicted model, not a curated record